Molecule: ribosomal RNA, 1175 nt
Filed under: Bacillus altitudinis
Lineage: Bacteria; Bacillati; Bacillota; Bacilli; Caryophanales; Bacillaceae
Description: bacterial SSU rRNA
Rfam family: Bacterial small subunit ribosomal RNA
Source: RNAcentral
CUGGGAUAACUCCGGGAAACCGGAGCUAAUACCGGAUAGUUCCUUGAACCGCAUGGUUCAAGGAUGAAAGACGGUUUCGGCUGUCACUUACAGAUGGACCCGCGGCGCAUUAGCUAGUUGGUGAGGUAACGGCUCACCAAGGCGACGAUGCGUAGCCGACCUGAGAGGGUGAUCGGCCACACUGGGACUGAGACACGGCCCAGACUCCUACGGGAGGCAGCAGUAGGGAAUCUUCCGCAAUGGACGAAAGUCUGACGGAGCAACGCCGCGUGAGUGAUGAAGGUUUUCGGAUCGUAAAGCUCUGUUGUUAGGGAAGAACAAGUGCAAGAGUAACUGCUUGCACCUUGACGGUACCUAACCAGAAAGCCACGGCUAACUACGUGCCAGCAGCCGCGGUAAUACGUAGGUGGCAAGCGUUGUCCGGAAUUAUUGGGCGUAAAGGGCUCGCAGGCGGUUUCUUAAGUCUGAUGUGAAAGCCCCCCGGCUCAACCGGGGAGGGUCAUUGGAAACUGGGAAACUUGAGUGCAGAAGAGGAGAGUGGAAUUCCACGUGUAGCGGUGAAAUGCGUAGAGAUGUGGAGGAACACCAGUGGCGAAGGCGACUCUCUGGUCUGUAACUGACGCUGAGGAGCGAAAGCGUGGGGAGCGAACAGGAUUAGAUACCCUGGUAGUCCACGCCGUAAACGAUGAGUGCUAAGUGUUAGGGGGUUUCCGCCCCUUAGUGCUGCAGCUAACGCAUUAAGCACUCCGCCUGGGGAGUACGGUCGCAAGACUGAAACUCAAAGGAAUUGACGGGGGCCCGCACAAGCGGUGGAGCAUGUGGUUUAAUUCGAAGCAACGCGAAGAACCUUACCAGGUCUUGACAUCCUCUGACAACCCUAGAGAUAGGGCUUUCCCUUCGGGGACAGAGUGACAGGUGGUGCAUGGUUGUCGUCAGCUCGUGUCGUGAGAUGUUGGGUUAAGUCCCGCAACGAGCGCAACCCUUGAUCUUAGUUGCCAGCAUUCAGUUGGGCACUCUAAGGUGACUGCCGGUGACAAACCGGAGGAAGGUGGGGAUGACGUCAAAUCAUCAUGCCCCUUAUGACCUGGGCUACACACGUGCUACAAUGGACAGAACAAAGGGCUGCGAGACCGCAAGGUUUAGCCAAUCCCACAAAUCUGUUCUCAGUUCGGAUC